Hordeum vulgare subsp. vulgare (domesticated barley) is the source of this 3302-nucleotide long non-coding RNA. RefSeq lists it as uncharacterized. The transcript is spliced from 5 exons. The record is from RefSeq and is a predicted model, not a curated record. Lineage: Eukaryota; Viridiplantae; Streptophyta; Magnoliopsida; Poales; Poaceae.
UUGGGCUUUCCAUCCUACUAUACCAAGCCCCAGAGGAUUCGGCGUAGCACUCGAGGGGUGGUGUAGUUUCCUCUAUGUUCGGUUGCUCCAUGGUCGCGGCCGCUGAUUGACCUGUUCGAGGUGGGCGUGGGCGAUUGACUGCUCUUUUGCCGCUGGGAGCGCGCGGCCGUGCUGCCGUGCACAUGUUGGGGUCGACGGGUCUGAUCCCCCGUUUCUUGCUUCCUCUCAGUCUCCUAUUUUGCUGGUUUGAUCCGUCGAUUGAUUUUCUCCGGGUGGGACUUCUUCAUUUUCUUCGCCUGACCGAUUGGCUGAUGUGCCUUCUCAUGUUGGUGGAGGUGCUGUAGGAGGCGUCGGUCAGUCGUCAUUCGCCGCCCAUUAAUCCAUCUGCUGCUCCCAGUUGUACACAAACUCUCUGCUUUGUUCUUUGGCGGACACUAUGAGUGUGGGCAGCGAUUCUUCCUCUAUGUCCCAUUCUUCAUCUCCUGGUCUCCAUGUGCGCACUGCGGCUGCUCCUUCUGUUCGUAUAGCUGCUGCUACAGCUGUUUGCUUUCUGUAUGUCUACAUCUACAUCUAUUUUAGUUUUCUUUUCAUAUGUCUAAGAUUUUGUUUUUGCAGAUGGGGCCGUCCAUCCGGGAUCCCGCUGAAGCGCGGCGCUGGCGUCGAGAUAUUCGUGAGGGGAAGCGUAGAGAACCCAGCUAGGAAAAGUGCUCCCUUAGCUUCUUCAGAUUGACUUCUUCUUCUCUUUGUUUCUUUGUGAUAUUUAAAUUUUGCAUUACUGCCUCAUGUUGAUUCUUCUUUGUUUUUUUACACUUUCUGCAUUGUUGGCAUCUUCUUCUAGCGUUGUUCAAGUCGGCUGUUCUACACCAUUGCCUCCAUCAUUUAGGCCUAUUUCCUUGCUAUAGCAUAUGGAUUCUUCUUGCACAGCUGGACCAUCGUUUAUCUCUGGUUUUCGGCCUAUCAUGUGCCCAUCCCACUCUUUUUGGGUAUGUCCUGUCUCAUUUUGUUUUUCAUGAUUUAGUCAUGUUUUCAUAGGUCUUUUGCCUUCUUUUUGGUUAAUGUGCACCUUCUUCUUUAGUGCUUCCCAUGUCGUAUGUUGAUCCUGUGCAAGCUGCCUUCAAUAGGAAAAAGAGAAAGUUUCUCUGAAUGCAUCGAUCAGGCAAGACUAAAAGUUGUACAAAACGGCUCGCCAGAGGUUAAAGUAUGCUGAUGCACCAAAUCUUACAAUUCAGUUUUUGGACAUGAGGGUGCUGCUCAUGGGGAUAGAUGUUCUGGCCAAAUCUCAUUGCUGGCGAAUUGAGACCUCGGUGUCAUAAAUUUGAUGUUAUAGCAGAGGCUACUUCCGGAGAACUAGAGCAUAUCUCCUAUUUGAAUCCAUCACUUAUGCCUCUUCAGUAUCCAUUUUUGUUUCCAUAUCGUGAUCCAAGUUUUCAGGUUAGUAUUGAAUAUCAGCACUGCGGCGCCGGGCAGCUAGCCGAAGGCAUCGUCAAAAUUCUAGGCAAGCUUCUUCUUUUUCAUCAGCCCGUAAACAUGUUACCAUGCUACAGAUUAUGCUUAUUAUCUUCAUUACCGAAGAAAUGAGACCAAUCGGUAUACUUGCUGUGGACGACUCUGUCAACAAGUUGCAGCUAAUUUUAUUCCUGUGCGGAAGCAAGUCGCCUAUCUUAUCAUUUUUUGAAACAAGAUGAGCAGUAUUUUGAAACAUAUCAAGGUAUCAUAGAUGCCAUGGUUUAAGGAAGUACUACUGGAAAAAAUCUGGAUGUACAGAGUAUGUUGCAUUCCUGCUUUACCGGUGGCAAUAGUUAUAUGGUGCAAAACUAUCAUGAUGGAAUGGCUAUUUGUUGAGGGUAUGGAGCUCCAGAUCUUUUUAUUAUAUUUACAUGUUCAUAAAUGGGAAGAAAUUUGCGAUAUGCUUUCAUAUGAAAGUGGACGAUUUCAUACUGAUCGACCUGAUUUAGUUACAAGUGUUUUAGUUUGCUUUCUUUAAAAUAUGCUCCUCUUUUAGAUGUGAAGACAUCUUAAGCUCUUUUGUCAAGUCGAUCAUGUAGGGAGGAGUAAAUGAAGGAGUUGUCCCAAAAGAUAGAGUGGAGCAGUUUAAGAAAAGCAUCAGUGAGGGAUCGGUGUACAAGAUUCAAAACUACCUCAUAGAAAGGCCCAAAAAUACUUACAGAGCAACAGAUCAUCCACAUAGGCUCUCCUUCAUAAAAACAACAAAUGUUACUCCUAUUGUUACCCUGUCAGUAGGUUUCCCCUUACUUACUCAUAAUGCAUUACCAUUUUCAGAGCUCGAAAAACAUAUUGGAUCGAAGGAGCUGAUGUCAAGUUACUCUUUAGCUAGCCUUCUGCAUAAGCUUUAAGUAUAUAUGCGAUUCUGAUUUCAACUAAUAUUAUAUGUGUCCAAAUUGCUAAAUAUUAUUGGUCCGAUGGUUACCGUUAUCGACUAUUGCCUUCUACUGGUGCUGCCAAGGAACCAAGGUGCCAGAUAACUAUCAUUGAUGGAAAAUAUGUCUCUCAUCCUCUGGCUUUGUGUGCUCACCAUCUUUAUACACAUUAUCAUAUUGUAGGACAAACAAUUACUUCAUUACAAACUUUAAUUUCUGUAGAAAAAAUGCGACUGUCACGCUUUUGGGUGAAUCUGCACAAAAAUUUGAUGCAGAGAGUUUAUGCACUUUAUCAAAGAGAGAACCAGUUAUCAUAAUGUUUGUUCUCAUGAUGCUCGAUCAGUAUGCAGGAACACCAUCUACAAGAUGACACGUAAAUGUUGAUAUUCCCAGGAUGAAAGCAAUGUUGGACAGAGUCAGAAACCAACCAUACGAAUUGAAGUACUCAAUCCCGGACAAACUCCGUGGGAGAAAGUGGAGACAACCAUCAGUUCCCUAGAAGGAAUAGACCCUGCUAACACUCUGAGAACUUGGUUCAAAUUCAGAGUCAAAAUAACUCAAAUGGUAUCUAUUACGGACUGGAUGUAUAUGGAUUGUAAAAUUUGCUGGAAAGGACUAUAAAUGACAUACGACAGUCUACGGAAGUGCCCUAUCAGUCCUGAUGGAGGAGAACCCUGGCCAAGGUGCCCUAUCUGUCCUGAUGGAGGAGAACCCUGGCCAAGAUAUAAGAUAAGAGUACAUGCAAUGGACGACGGAAGCAACGAUGAAGCAAACACAACAUUUGCUGAAUUUUUAUUCUUUGAUGCACUUGUUGAAAAAAUAGCCGGCAUCACCGCAUAUUGUGUAGAAGCCCACAAAAUAGGAAAGACUAACUACCUUCCACCCGAACUGGAACAACUCCCUAGCAAAAGAUUCAUUUUAACA